RNAcentral lists this ribosomal RNA (253 nucleotides) under uncultured bacterium. RNAcentral describes it as "partial 16S ribosomal RNA". It matches the Rfam family "Bacterial small subunit ribosomal RNA", at positions 524 to 776 of the family's 1533-position model. The record is from RNAcentral.
UACGUAGGUGGCAAGCGUUAUCCGGAUUUACUGGGUGUAAAGGGCGUGUAGGCGGGGACGCAAGUCAGAUGUGAAAACCACGGGCUCAACCUGUGGCCUGCAUUUGAAACUGUGUUUCUUGAGUACUGGAGAGGCAGACGGGAUUCCUAGUGUAGCGGUGAAAUGCGUAGAUAUUAGGAGGAACACCAGUGGCGAAGGCGGUCUGCUGGACAGCAACUGACGCUGAGGCGCGAAAGCGUGGGGAGCAAACAGG